CAGACUCUCUGUAUGAGCAGCUGAAGAACAAUUCAUCAGUGACACUGUACAAAGUAUCAGAGGAGAAAAUAAAGGCCAGCUGCGAAUUGGUUCACCCCAACCUGAAAGCAGUUCCCGGGACACUGAAAAUACACCAACUGACAUCCACAAAACCAGGAGUCAUAAAUACACGGGAGGUGUCAUGCUUUUGUAGAAAAAAUUGCCAGUGCUUUUCUACAAAUUGCCACAUGUUCUCUGAGGGAAGAGAUGAGGACCCUGACUGAACAGAGGCCACCAUAGAGGUUGGACAGUGGGUCCUGGUUGAAUACGAUGGUGACUUGUUCCCUGGUACAGUCACACAGAUUGCUGAAGGGCAGUAUGAAGUCGACACCAUGAAUUGUGCAGGGGAGAACCGCUUCUAUGUACCAAGCAUCAGAUUUCCAGGAGAAAGGGUCUGGUACUAUCGUCAGGACAUACGGGACAUAAUCCCAGAACCACUUCCUGUCACCUCCUCUGCUAGACAUUUCUGCAUUUUACCUGACAUAUGGGCAAAACACAAGAAAUGCUCAUGAUUGAGUUACAGUUGAGGGAAAACGUGAUUGGUACAAAGCAGUCGUUCCAGUUGUUUGUUUUAGUUGUUUGACCAACUCAUAAAUAGAGUUGCUGCUAUUCAAGUUCUUCACAUUAAAUUAUUCUCAGAAAAAGGUUGUGUGGUUCAAUGUCAGGACCAAAGUGUUUUAGCUAAACUAAAUUCUUUUUACAAGAGCACUUGAUGCUGUUACAUUUAAAUGUUUCUCAGGACCACAUGAUGAUAUGUUACAUUGAAAAAGUUCUCAUCACAUGGUUGUAUGUUUAACUAUAAUGAUUAAAUGUAUACUAAUGGUUGUAUAAUUGUUAGUACUACAGUGUAGGCUCCAUGACAUGAUUCUUAAGAAGAGCAUAAGAUUGUAACUUGUUAACAGAAGGCAUGGUACUGUGAUGAUUACGAUAAAUGAGAAAAUUAAACACUGUUUAUGAAAUAAAUGUUCUUUUAAAAAUUGUAUGAGUUUUAAAUAUGUAAAAUAGGGUUAGGCAUCAAACCCCUUUGUCAACAGUGAAUGUGUGAGCUAAAUAUAAUUUCCGAAACAUUGAUCCUCAUUACCGAAAUGGCAUUUUCAUUACCGCAACAUGUAUA
Molecule: long non-coding RNA, 1153 nt
Organism: Carassius carassius (crucian carp)
Lineage: Eukaryota; Metazoa; Chordata; Actinopteri; Cypriniformes; Cyprinidae
Exons: 3
Source: RefSeq, a predicted model, not a curated record